Long non-coding RNA from Toxorhynchites rutilus septentrionalis, 967 nucleotides. RefSeq lists it as uncharacterized. Lineage: Eukaryota; Metazoa; Arthropoda; Insecta; Diptera; Culicidae. The transcript is spliced from 3 exons. The record is from RefSeq and is a predicted model, not a curated record.
AGAAACAUAAGAAGUUACAUAAAUUAUUGAUUUGUUUUCAUUGAUAGAUAAUUUAACAAAUAGACUUGGUGUUAUGUAAAUAAUCUUAUCCGACGCGUCACACGGAAAUAGUGCAAAACAUAAGACGCAUGAACAAGACAUCGGCGCCACUUGUCUAGGGCACAGCGUGGGCGUAUUUCUUUUGUCUCCGAGGAAAGCGAACCAUUACCCAGCUAGCGGAAAAAAAAGUUAUUUUGAAAGUUUUUUUUCGGUACAUUUCGUAACGUGGUUCAGUACAGUGUGUGAUUUGUGACACUUCAUUUACCAUGGACUGGUGUGCACUUCCCUGUGCACGUUUGUGUAGCUGUCGGAAUAGAAGACACAUGGAAGGAGAGUAAGCAGUCAAUCUGGAGGAGGACUGGAUAUUGCAGUCGAAGCGGUGACCAUAGACACAUCCCACGUUCGCUCGUUUCUUUACUCGGUGAAUCAGAGCCUUGGGACUAUUUUGUAAACGAGUGAAAAAGGUGAAAUGAGAUGAUCGAGAUGACCAGCGCGUACUUCUAGAGGCUUCUGAGCAACAAAAUAAAAAACAAGACAGUGUAGCAGUCUAUGGAGGGCUAUCUUCAAGGAUGACCACAAAUGCUCCCGUUAAGGUUUUUCACAAAAUGCAGCAGAUUGCCGUCCAUCCCAUAGUUUGUCAAUGUCUUCAGAACUAGUGAAAAUUCAUGUUCGGUUGUACGUCGUAGUUGAUUCGCUGAAAGAAGUGAACGAAAGAUUCCACGUAACGGACUUCUGAAUUGCCCUGUAGGAUCAUGUCAUUCAACACCGUUGGAUUAUUUUUGUGAGGCUAUGUGAAGUCUUUGGUCCACGCGGCUCAUCGCGAACAAUUCACGCCUUGGAAGACAAUAUUUGCUACAUGAACGACAAUAUACAAUAUUUGUCCUGGUAAACGAUCUCCAUUGCUGUGAAAAGUUAUCAAAAGUUGCUA